GAUGAAGAACGCAGCGAAAUGCGAUAAGUAGUGUGAAUUGCAGAAUUCAGUGAAUCAUCGAAUCUUUGAACGCACAUUGCGCCCUUUGGUAUUCCAAAGGGCAUGCCUGUUCGAGCGUCAUUUGUACCCUCAAGCUUUGCUUGGUGUUGGGCGUCUUGUCACUAGCUUUGCUGGAGACUCGCCUUAAAGUAAUUGGCAGCCGGCCUACUGUUUUCGGAGCGCAGCACAAGUCGCACUCUCUAUCAGCAAAGGUCUAGCAUCCACUAAGCCUUUUUUUCAACUUUUGACCUCGGAUCAGGUAGGGAUACCCGCUGAACUUAAGCAUAUCAAUAAGCGGAGGA
RNAcentral lists this unclassified non-coding RNA (341 nucleotides) under soil metagenome. Its description in RNAcentral is "partial contains 5.8S ribosomal RNA, internal transcribed spacer 2, and large subunit ribosomal RNA". The stretch from base 1 to 120 matches the Rfam family "5.8S ribosomal RNA", at positions 35 to 154 of the family's 154-position model. The record is from RNAcentral.